AGGGCCUGUGCGUAGAGGUGUACGCGGCAGGGCGGGAGUGACGGAGACGGACCGAGGAAAAUGUCAGCCUUUGUAGAAUAAGCUUAGAGACAUCUACAACCACAGAAGAAUCGAAGUCUCAAAAGGUGAGUCUGGAGGAAGAUAGAGAGAGGGAGAAAACAGUCUGGAUUUGAAUUGAGAGCUCUGGACCCAAGCCUUGUGAUGAUGGUGAGUACUUUCUCUAGUCUCUCUGUCUCUGCCUUUUGUUCAUCUCUCUCUACUUUCUUCAGAGCUUUACCCUCUCUCCCUGUAGUAACUGGAAACUCCAGAGUCCAUGCCCCUACCUUCUGCAUCUUAGACACAGCCUGUGUGGU
Molecule: long non-coding RNA, 353 nt
Organism: Emys orbicularis (European pond turtle)
Lineage: Eukaryota; Metazoa; Chordata; Testudines; Emydidae
Exons: 3
Source: RefSeq, a predicted model, not a curated record